GAGCACUGUGGUACCACAGCAGUGGCUCUGGAUCAGAACUCUGCUCUCCUAGGGGCUAGAUGCAGAGACCUGGUACCCAAGGCCUCUGUUCUGAUGCCAUUCUC
This 104-nucleotide microRNA precursor is filed under the name Callithrix jacchus (white-tufted-ear marmoset). RNAcentral's name for it is "microRNA cja-mir-9973 precursor". Lineage: Eukaryota; Metazoa; Chordata; Mammalia; Primates; Cebidae. The record is from miRBase by way of RNAcentral.